AACAGUAUAGUUUAUUAAAAUUUUUAUUUUGCGUAUAAAAGAUAGCUUUUUUGGCUUGUUGUUA
RNAcentral lists this transfer RNA (64 nucleotides) under Pseudorhabdosynochus yangjiangensis. RNAcentral describes it as "tRNA-Ala". Lineage: Eukaryota; Metazoa; Platyhelminthes; Monogenea; Dactylogyridea; Diplectanidae. The record is from RNAcentral.